Ruditapes philippinarum (Manila clam) is the source of this 393-nucleotide long non-coding RNA. RefSeq lists it as uncharacterized. The transcript has 3 exons. The record is from RefSeq and is a predicted model, not a curated record. Lineage: Eukaryota; Metazoa; Mollusca; Bivalvia; Venerida; Veneridae.
UUAUAUAAGAUGGUCAAAACUGAUAUAUUUUAUAUAUCUUCUUUAGUUUCAUCGUGACCGAAAGCUUUGCAUUUUAACAAUCGACAUGAAUAAGUCACUUUUAGUUUUGCUAUUGGUAGGAUGCAUUACCAUUGCAAUAGUACCUGAUGUAGCAGAAGCCCAGUACAGACCGCCAGGUGGACGUUGUAGCUGCCGAAAUAGUUGUUUGUAUGGCGAAUUUCCAAGAGGUCCGUGUGGUUACAGAAGACAGCUUUGUUGUAGAAGUGGUGGAAUGGUUGGUUAACAAGACUGGACGUUUUUUCUCCGGAGUUGACAGUAUUCGGUGAAUGCGAAACGAUAAAUUCAUCUGUGAAUUAUUUGUGAUGUACUGAAUUAAACUUCAAAUGAUUCCAA